RNAcentral lists this long non-coding RNA (326 nucleotides) under Mytilus galloprovincialis (Mediterranean mussel). The record is from RNAcentral. Lineage: Eukaryota; Metazoa; Mollusca; Bivalvia; Mytilida; Mytilidae.
CGUUGAAAACAAAAUGAUAUUCUUAUUAAUACUAUAUUGUCCUGUUCAUUAGUUUUGAUACUGUCAUCAAAUGCAAUUAGACUAAAAUCUGAAGCAUUUUAAAAAUAUAAACCUCUACUUCAGUAAGUGAUGUUGAGUUUCCUUCCAUUUGUCCUUUAUAGUAAUGACUUCGAUAUUUUUUAGUCGUAUGCUCGUUUCCCUCACUGGAACUGGCAUUUGGACCUUCUCGCCCUACAUUUUCACAGUUAAUGUUGGCCCUUCCUUUUCUGACGAUUUUAAUUGUAAUACUCUUCUCCUGCUUUAUUAUGUUGUAUAUUUGUCUGAAC